Long non-coding RNA from Rana temporaria (common frog), 618 nucleotides. RefSeq lists it as uncharacterized. The record is from RefSeq and is a predicted model, not a curated record. Lineage: Eukaryota; Metazoa; Chordata; Amphibia; Anura; Ranidae. The transcript is spliced from 3 exons.
UUAGAAGAUUGAGUUCUUCUGCCUAAAAAGUUCACUUUUUUAUUGUUUGAAUUUGGCGCUCAGGCCGGCUAGUGUGUCGUCACCUGCAGCGCCGCAUGUGCGUCCCAGCGUCUCUUUGGGGAAAAGAGUAAGCUGGGAGGUCCGUCGUUUUCUCUGCCUAGGGUGGCGCUGUGGGCUGCCUCAGGCCCCCCUGCUUUGCAGCCAGCUUGGAGCUCGCUGGUCCGGAGGAUGGGCGACGUCAGUUCCGGUUGGGGGUGGGACAGCCACACGAGGCCGCGUCUUCCGGUUCCGGACGCGGCCUAGGAAAGCGGACCACGCACGCUGGCUGGUGCAGUCUCUCCAGUCUGAGGUGUCAGCAAAGGAGACAACAGACCACCGCUCCGCUGAGCAGCAAUGUCGGAGACAGAGGUCUCGAGGACAGCUCCAUCCGAGGAAAGCGCCAGCCAGCCGCAGGUAAGGGAACCCUGGGGUGGUGUUCACCUGCCUAUACCCUGUUAGCUCCACGGGUGUUUUCCCUUCCUGGUGGUCGGUGGGGAUAGGAGUUUCUGGGACCCUGGUGGUGGUUGGUCCUGGGGGGCACUCCUGGUGAUCCCUGUGUUUAUUGCUGGUGGGCCCCAG